This 253-nucleotide ribosomal RNA is filed under the name uncultured bacterium. RNAcentral describes it as "partial 16S ribosomal RNA". It matches the Rfam family "Bacterial small subunit ribosomal RNA", at positions 524 to 776 of the family's 1533-position model. The record is from RNAcentral.
UACGUAAGGGGCAAGCGUUGUCCGGAAUCACUGGGCGUAAAGCGCACGUAGGCGGUUUAGCAAGUUAGGGGUGCAAGCUCCAGGCUUAACCUGGAAACUGCCUCUAAAACUACUUCACUUGAGUAUUAGAGGGGAAGCUGGAAUUCCAGGUGUAGCGGUGAAAUGCGUAGAUAUCUGGAGGAACACCGGUGGCGAAGGCGGCAUCCUGGACCGAGAUUGACGCUGAGGCGCGAAAGCCAGGGGAGCAAACGGG